AGGUCUUUCUUGUCGUUGUUGUGUUGCACUGUUUUCUGCUAUGAUUAUGAACAAGCGAGCUGAAGUUAAUGCAAGGCUCUGUUGACUGACUUCUUCUAUUGGCUGGUGAAGCUGAAGUUCGGAAAAACCCAGUGCUGCAGAAGAAGCAUGGGACCCGCUCACCCAAAAUCCUCCCUACUCACAGCUGCUGUGCACUAUGUCUUGGACAAAGCGACUAGAAUACAUUAGAGCUACUUCCUGGACUGCCGUAUCGGAACUUGCACGAAGCGUGGUGACCUUCUGUGCAGACCUUUUUACUCAAAGAGCAACCCCGCCAUACCAUGACACCUCAAUUCAUCGGCUAUGUGAUGGACUACAUUUAGCGUGGGUUAUUGGGAUUUCAUAAUAUUAAAUGCUUCAUUAUUAGUACUAUACAUCUUUUUGGGGACCUAAAUAAUGGCAGUUAUGUGCACUACAAUGUCCCCAG
This is a long non-coding RNA of Rhipicephalus microplus (southern cattle tick), 466 nucleotides long. The record is from RefSeq and is a predicted model, not a curated record. Lineage: Eukaryota; Metazoa; Arthropoda; Arachnida; Ixodida; Ixodidae.